CCUACGGGAGGCAGCAGUGGGGGAUAUUGCACAAUGGGGGGAACCCUGAUGCAGCGACGCCGCGUGGGUGAAGAAGCGCCUCGGCGCGUAAAGCUCUGUUAGCAGGGAAGAAAAUCACGGUACCUGAAGCAGAAGCCCCGGCUAACUACGUGCCAGCAGCCGCGGUAAUACGUAGGGUGCCAGCGUUAUCCGGAUUUACUGGGUGUAAAGGGGGCGCAGGCGGCGAUGCAAGCCAGGAGUGAAAGCCCGGGGCCCAACCCCGGGACUGCUAUUGGAAGUGCGUGGCUGGAGUGCAGGAGAGGCAGGCGGAAUUCGUGGUGUAGCGGGGAAAUGCGUAGAGAGCAGGAGGAACACCGGUGGCGAAGGCGGCCUGCUGGACUGCGACUGACGUUGAGGCCCGAAAGUGUGGGGAGCAAACAGGAUUAGAUACCCUAGUAGUC
This 440-nucleotide ribosomal RNA is filed under the name uncultured bacterium. RNAcentral's name for it is "partial 16S ribosomal RNA". It matches the Rfam family "Bacterial small subunit ribosomal RNA", at positions 338 to 795 of the family's 1533-position model. The record is from RNAcentral.